AACGAACGCUGGCGGCAUGCCUAACACAUGCAAGUCGAACGAGAACUUCGGGUCUAGUGGCGCACGGGUGCGUAACGCGUGGGAACCUGCCCUUAGGUUCGGAAUAACUGCCCGAAAGGGGAGCUAAUACCGGAUAAUGUCUUCGGACCAAAGAUUUAUCGCCGUUGGAUGGGGCCGGGUUGGAUUAGCUAGUUGGUAGGGUAAAAGCCUACCAAGGGGACGAUCCAUAGCUGGUCUGAGAGGAUGAUCAGCCACACUGGGACUGAGACACGGCCCAGACUCCUACGCGAGGCUGCAGUGGGGAGUAUUGGACGCUGGGCGAAAGCCUGAUCCAGCAAUGCCGCGUGAGUGAUGAAGGCCUUAGGGUUGUAAAGCUCUUUUACCCGGGAUGAUAAUGACAGUACCGGGAGAAUAAGCUCCGGCUAACUCCGUG
RNAcentral lists this ribosomal RNA (433 nucleotides) under uncultured bacterium. Its description in RNAcentral is "partial 16S ribosomal RNA". It matches the Rfam family "Bacterial small subunit ribosomal RNA", at positions 29 to 507 of the family's 1533-position model. The record is from RNAcentral.